RNAcentral lists this ribosomal RNA (125 nucleotides) under Nectriaceae sp. RNAcentral's name for it is "partial small subunit ribosomal RNA". It matches the Rfam family "Eukaryotic small subunit ribosomal RNA", at positions 1657 to 1779 of the family's 1831-position model. Lineage: Eukaryota; Fungi; Ascomycota; Sordariomycetes; Hypocreales; Nectriaceae. The record is from RNAcentral.
CCUUUGUACACACCGCCCGUCGCUACUACCGAUUGAAUGGCUCAGUGAGGCGUCCGGACUGGCCCAGAGAGGUGGGCAACUACCCCUCAGGGCCGGAAAGCUCUCCAAACUCGGUCAUUUAGAGG